AUUGAACGCUGGCGGCAGGCCUAACACAUGCAAGUCGAACGAGUGGCGGACGGGUGAGUAAUGUCUGGGAAACUGCCCGAUGGAGGGGGAUAACUACUGGAAACGGUAGCUAAUACCGCAUACCAUCGGAUGUGCCCCUAUGGGAUUAGCUAGUUGGUGGGGUAACGGCUCACCUAGGCGAAGAUCCCUAGAUGGUCUGCGAGGAUGACCAGCCACACUGGAACGGAGACACGGUCCAGACUCCUACGGGUGGCAGCAGUGGGGAAUAUUGCACCAUGGGCGCAAGCCUGAUGCAGCCAUGCCGCGUGUAUGAAGAAGGCCUUCGGGUUGUAAAGUACUUUCAGCGAGGAGGCGUUACUCGCAGAAGAAGCACCGGCUAACUCCGUGCCAGCCGCCGCGGUAAUAC
This 406-nucleotide ribosomal RNA is filed under the name uncultured bacterium. RNAcentral's name for it is "partial 16S ribosomal RNA". It matches the Rfam family "Bacterial small subunit ribosomal RNA", at positions 30 to 526 of the family's 1533-position model. The record is from RNAcentral.